RNAcentral lists this long non-coding RNA (238 nucleotides) under Capsicum annuum. Its description in RNAcentral is "long non-coding RNA (CANN_LNC006820)". The record is from RNAcentral. Lineage: Eukaryota; Viridiplantae; Streptophyta; Magnoliopsida; Solanales; Solanaceae.
GGGUCAGAUGAGAGAGACUUGACCCGAGAUCUAACAACACAUAGACAUCAAGAAAAAAGACAUGGAGCAUAAUGGUAUAAAUAUCGAGUGAGGACUCCUGCUCCUGAUAGGAUAGUAAAGCAUAGAAUCUGUUCGGCACUGACCGCCAUUAGUGCUAGAUGAAGUGCCAUAAGCAAGGGCGAGAUGAGGUACAGGAGCUGGUGCACUACUAGCCUGUGCCUGAGGUCGGGCAUCUCUG